AGUGAACGCUGGCGGUAGGCCUAACACAUGCAAGUCGAACGGCAGCACAGUAAGAGCUUGCUCUUACGGGUGGCGAGUGGCGGACGGGUGAGGAAUACAUCGGAAUCUACUUUUUCGCGUGGGAUAACGUAGGUAAACUUACUCUAAUACCGCAUACGACCUACGGGUGAAAGCAGGGGAUCUUCUGACCUUUCGCGAUUGAAUUAGCCGAUGUCGGAUUAGCUAGUUGGCGGGGUAAAGGCCCAGCAAGGGGACGAUCCGUAGCCGGUCUGAGAGGAUGAUAAGCCACACUGGAAGUGAGACACGGUCCAGACUACUACGGGAGGCAGCAGUGGGGUAUAGUGGACAAUGGGCGGAAGCAUGACACAGCGAGACCGAGCGGGUGGAGGAGACGUUCGGGUCGUAAAGACCUUUUGUUGGGAAAGAAAAGCAGCAGGUUAAUACGAAGCUGUACUGACGGUACCGGAAGAAUAAGCACCGGCUAACUUCGUG
This 492-nucleotide ribosomal RNA is filed under the name uncultured bacterium. Its description in RNAcentral is "partial 16S ribosomal RNA". It matches the Rfam family "Bacterial small subunit ribosomal RNA", at positions 29 to 507 of the family's 1533-position model. The record is from RNAcentral.